Molecule: ribosomal RNA, 447 nt
Filed under: Aeribacillus sp. S48D016
Lineage: Bacteria; Bacillati; Bacillota; Bacilli; Caryophanales; Bacillaceae
Description: bacterial SSU rRNA
Rfam family: Bacterial small subunit ribosomal RNA
Source: RNAcentral
GCGGCGGACGGGUGAGUAACACGUGGGCAACCUGCCCUGCAGACUGGGAUAACUUCGGGAAACCGGAGCUAAUACCGGAUAACACCGAAAACCGCAUGGUUUUCGGUUGAAAGGCGGCUUUUAGCUGUCACUGCAGGAUGGGCCCGCGGCGCAUUAGCUAGUUGGUGAGGUAACGGCUCACCAAGGCGACGAUGCGUAGCCGACCUGAGAGGGUGACCGGCCACACUGGGACUGAGACACGGCCCAAACUCCUACGGGAGGCAGCAGUAGGGAAUCUUCCGCAAUGGACGAAAGUCUGACGGACCAACGCCGCGUGAGCAAAGAAGGUCUUCGGAUCGUAAAGCUCUGUUGUCAGGGAAGAACAAGUGCCGUUCGAACAGGGCGGUACCUUGACGGUACCUGACGAGGAAGCCACGGUUAACUACGUGCCACCAGCCGCGGUAAUAC